This 253-nucleotide ribosomal RNA is filed under the name uncultured bacterium. Its description in RNAcentral is "partial 16S ribosomal RNA". It matches the Rfam family "Bacterial small subunit ribosomal RNA", at positions 524 to 776 of the family's 1533-position model. The record is from RNAcentral.
UACGUAGGCAGCAAGCGUUGCUCGGAGUUACUGGGCGUAAAGGGUGCGUAGGCGGCUUUUUAAGUCUGGUGUGAAAUCUCCCGGCUCAACUGGGAGGGUGCGCCGAAAACUGGAAUGCUUGAACAUGGGAGAGGAAAGCGGAAUUCCUGGUGUAGCGGUGAAAUGCGUAGAUAUCAGGAGGAACACCUGCGGUGUAGACGGCUUUCUGGACCAUUGUUGACGCUGAGACACGAAAGCGUGGGUAGCAAACAGG